This 81-nucleotide transfer RNA is filed under the name Paragonimus skrjabini miyazakii. Its description in RNAcentral is "Paragonimus miyazakii tRNA". It matches the Rfam family "tRNA". From Rfam's summary of the family: Transfer RNA (tRNA) molecules are approximately 80 nucleotides in length. The record is from Rfam by way of RNAcentral. Lineage: Eukaryota; Metazoa; Platyhelminthes; Trematoda; Plagiorchiida; Troglotrematidae.
GGCUUCGUAGCUCAGCUGGUAGGGCGCACGCCGCAUUGAGGCAUGGUGUUUCUGUCGCUGGUUCAAAUCCAGCGGAAGCCU